AAUGAGCACAAAAGGACAGCGGUGUGUGUCUGAGGGAAUGAGGACAGCAGGCUAACGUGGGCUGGCGAAGGGCCUUGGGCGAGCAAAGGCUCCAUCGCCUGAGGUGACCCCACAACAGGACUCCCACACAGCGGGUACUCAAUGGACACAGCAGCGGUUUGGCAGAACCGGGCCAUGGUGUCACAAACAGGCAGGGAUACCACACGACUGCUGUCACAAACAACUGAGAUUCCACGCAGAGCAGCCUGAACGUCAAAGCUAUUGAUCACAAGGGCGUCAUUAAAGGAGCAGAAUAUUCCGGCAGUGCCAAGCACAAGAACAGAGACAUCACAGCAAUCAGGAGCAGGCUUUUGGACCAUGCGGCGAAAGCAUAUUAUUUGGAGGGAAACCCAUGAUGACAUGUGGAGAACAUGCAAACACAUAUGGAG
Long non-coding RNA from Brienomyrus brachyistius, 428 nucleotides. RefSeq lists it as uncharacterized. The record is from RefSeq and is a predicted model, not a curated record. Lineage: Eukaryota; Metazoa; Chordata; Actinopteri; Osteoglossiformes; Mormyridae. The transcript is spliced from 5 exons.